RNAcentral lists this ribosomal RNA (484 nucleotides) under uncultured bacterium. RNAcentral's name for it is "partial 16S ribosomal RNA". It matches the Rfam family "Bacterial small subunit ribosomal RNA", at positions 30 to 507 of the family's 1533-position model. The record is from RNAcentral.
AUUGAACGCUGGCGGCAGGCCUAACACAUGCAAGUCGAGCGGAUGAAGGGAGCUUGCUCCUGGAUUCAGCGGCGGACGGGUGAGUAAUGCCUAGGAAUCUGCCUGGUAGUGGGGGAUAACGUCCGGAAACGGGCGCUAAUACCGCAUACGUCCUGAGGGAGAAAGUGGGGGAUCUUCGGACCUCACGCUAUCAGAUGAGCCUAGGUCGUAUUAGCUAGUUGGUAGGGUAAAGGCCUACCAAGGCGACGAUCCGUAACUGCUCUGAGAGGAUGAUCAGUCACACUGGAACUGAGACACGGUCCAGACUCCUACGGGAGGCAGCAGUAGGGAAUAUUGGACAAUGGGCGAAAGCCUGAUCCAGCCAUGCCGCGUGUGUGAAGAAGGUCUUCGGAUUGUAAAGCACUUUAAGUUGGGAGGAAGGGCAGUAAGUUAAUACCUUGCUGUUUUGACGUUACCAACAGAAUAAGCACCGGCUAACUUCGUG